Molecule: ribosomal RNA, 496 nt
Filed under: uncultured bacterium
Lineage: Bacteria
Description: bacterial SSU rRNA
Rfam family: Bacterial small subunit ribosomal RNA
Source: RNAcentral
AAAGGAAUAGACGGGGACCCGCACAAGCAGCGGAGCAUGUGGUUUAAUUCGAAGCAACGCGAAGAACCUUACCAGGGCUUGACAUAUGCAUGACCAGUGUAGAGAUACACUAUUCUCUUCGGAGACAUGUAUACAGGUGGUGCAUGGUUGUCGUCAGCUCGUGUCGUGAGAUGUUGGGUUAAGUCCCGUAACGAGCGCAACCCCUAUCUUUAGUUACCAACAGAUAAUGCUGGGGACUCUAGAGAGACUGCCGGUGAUAAACCGGAGGAAGGUGGGGAUGACGUCAAAUCAUCAUGCCCUUUAUGUCCUGGGCUACACACGUGCUACAAUGGUCUGAACAAAGCGCAGCUAACUCGUGAGAGCAAGCGAAUCGCAGAAAACAGAUCUCAGUUCGGAUUGUAGGCUGCAACUCGCCUACAUGAAGUCGGAGUUGCUAGUAAUCGUGAAUCAGAAUGUCACGGUGAAUGCGUUCCCGGGUCUUGUACACACCGCCCGU